AGUGAACGCUGGCGGUAGGCCUAACACAUGCAAGUCGAACGGCAGCACAGGAGAGCUUGCUCUCUGGGUGGCGAGUGGCGGACGGGUGAGGAAUACAUCGGAAUCUACUCUGUCGUGGGGGAUAACGUAGGGAAACUUACGCUAAUACCGCAUACGACCUACGGGUGAAAGCAGGGGACCUUCGGGCCUUGCGCGAUUGAAUGAGCCGAUGUCGGAUUAGCUAGUUGGCGGGGUAAAGGCCCCCCAAGGCGACGAUCCGUAGCUGGUCUGAGAGGAGGAUCAGCCAAACUGGAACUGAGACACGGUCCAGACUCCUACGGGAGGCAGCAGUGGGGAAUAUUGGACAAUGGGCGCAAGCCUGAUCCAGCCAUACCGCGUGGGUGAAGAAGGCCUUCGGGUUGUAAAGCCCUUUUGUUGGGAAAGAAAUCCAGCUGGCUAAUACCCGGUUGGGAUGACGGUACCCAAAGAAUAAGCACCGGCUAACUUCGUGCCAGCCGCCGCCGUAA
This 506-nucleotide ribosomal RNA is filed under the name uncultured bacterium. Its description in RNAcentral is "partial 16S ribosomal RNA". It matches the Rfam family "Bacterial small subunit ribosomal RNA", at positions 29 to 523 of the family's 1533-position model. The record is from RNAcentral.